Molecule: unclassified non-coding RNA, 389 nt
Filed under: Rhamnus aurea
Lineage: Eukaryota; Viridiplantae; Streptophyta; Magnoliopsida; Rosales; Rhamnaceae
Description: partial contains external transcribed spacer and 18S ribosomal RNA
Source: RNAcentral
GUGCUUGGGCAUCGAACUGCUUGCGCUCGGCAACCGCUCAGUGUUUUGCUUCGAGGGCCAAGUGUCCUCGAGACUUUCRGGUUCCUGUGUUGCAUACCCAACGAGACGGAAUUAGUUGCCAUCGGUGCCCCUUUCCUCCUUGUUCCCUACACGGGCACGAGGAGGACACCAAAGUAGCGCACGUGUCCCUGGCGAGUCUCAACUUGUUGUGUGGCAAGCCACGGUCCGCGUGCCUUACUCGUCCCCUCGGAUGCAGAACAUGUGGGCGUGGGUUUUAUUACCWUUGAACGUCCGACAUUAUAGCUCCAUUCUCGUACGAUUGCCGUGUCCGUGGUGGCCUUUCGACCCUAGUGGCGUUGGGCGCGCGCGGCACAAGCAUCGCGUAGGAA